RNAcentral lists this ribosomal RNA (331 nucleotides) under uncultured bacterium. RNAcentral's name for it is "partial 16S ribosomal RNA". It matches the Rfam family "Bacterial small subunit ribosomal RNA", at positions 338 to 666 of the family's 1533-position model. The record is from RNAcentral.
CCUACGGGUGGCAGCAGUGAGGAAUAUUGGUCAAUGGACGAGAGUCUGAACCAGCCAAGCCGCGUGAAGGAUGACUGCACUAUGGGUUGUAAACUUCUUUUAUAUGGGAAUAAACUGUUCCACGUGUCGGCGUAUGUAUGUACCUUACGAAUAAGGAUCGGCUAACUCCGUGCCAGCAGCCGCGGUAAUACGGAGGAUCCGAGCGUUAUCCGGAUUUAUUGGGUUUAAAGGGUGCGUAGGCGGAUUGUUAAGUCAGUUGUGAAAGUUUGCGGCUCAACCGUAAAAUUGCAGUUGAAACUGGCAGUCUUGAGUACAGUAGAGGUAUGCGGAA